Molecule: ribosomal RNA, 554 nt
Filed under: Rhizophagus irregularis
Lineage: Eukaryota; Fungi; Glomeromycota; Glomeromycetes; Glomerales; Glomeraceae
Description: SSU rRNA
Rfam family: Eukaryotic small subunit ribosomal RNA
Source: RNAcentral
AAGUCUGGUGCCAGCAGCCGCGGUAAUUCCAGCUCCAAUAGCGUAUAUUAAAGUUGUUGCAGUUAAAAAGCUCGUAGUUGAAUUUCGGGGUUAGUAGGUUGGUCAUGCCUCCGGUAUGUACUGAUCUCACUGAUUCCUCCUUCCUUAUGAACCGUAAUGCCAUUAAUUUGGUGUUGCGGGGAAUUUGGACUGUUACUUUGAAAAAAUUAGAGUGUUUAAAGCAAGCUAACGCUUGAAUACAUUAGCAUGGAAUAAUGAAAUAGGACGUUCGAUCUUAUUUUGUUGGUUUCUAGGAUUGACGUAAUGAUUAAUAGGGAUAGUUGGGGGCAUUAGUAUUCAAUUGUCAGAGGUGAAAUUCUUGGAUUUAUUGAAGACUAACUACUGCGAAAGCAUUUGCCAAGGAUGUUUUCAUUAAUCAAGAACGAAAGUUAGGGGAUCGAAGACGAUCAGAUACCGUCGUAGUCUUAACCAUAAACUAUGCCGACUAGGGAUCGGAUGAUGUUAAUUUUUUAAUGACUCAUUCGGCGCCUUACGGGAAACCAAAGUGUUUGGGU